Molecule: long non-coding RNA, 284 nt
Filed under: Elaeis guineensis (African oil palm)
Lineage: Eukaryota; Viridiplantae; Streptophyta; Magnoliopsida; Arecales; Arecaceae
Description: long non-coding RNA (EGUI_LNC038876)
Source: RNAcentral
GGUAGUGGCCAUUGUCGUGACUUGCUAGAGAGUUCGGAUCUGUCGGCUGAAGCUCGGUUGGGACAUCUGAUGGAGCGGAAUGGCUCUCUAUCCCGUCGAUCUGGAAGAAGUUCGGAUGCCUCGAAGCUGCUAAUGAGUCUACUGCUGUCGGAUACCUUAGGCGCUGAUACUACAGGUGGGGUCAUCUGCUGUAGAAGUUUGGAUGGAGACUUUCCGUUGAUAAAGCCUGGUAGGAGUCCGAUUGCUAGAGAAGUCCAUCUAGAAUUCGCCUGAUGUGGAAGCUC